AAAAGUCAGGGUUUUUUUUAACGAGUUCAGUUCCUGUGCCGCGAUGGAGGUCUGAGCUGUGCUGCGCAGACCAUGAUCCGGCGUUGCGCCUCACCAACAACGAACUACCAAGGAUAAAGACGAACAGAAAAAAACAAAUUCUCCGGCUCUCGAACUCGUCGAGCUCUCUUUGUCCAACUUGUCAAGCUCUCUCCAUGGCUUUUCCGUCGAUUUUGAUAUGAGCUAGAGGUUAGAAGCUACGAUUUCAGAGAUAUUUUACUUUCAAUACAAUUUCGACUCGUUUCCCACUAGUCCAAUCCUUAUUCGAUCUGCAGAGGACUCUGUUAGGGUUUUGGUCUGUUGAGAUCCGAGAGAUUUGCGGCUGCGAUUUCGAAUAUUGGAGCUUCGAGUUCAGAGGUUUGAGACUGCGAUUUUGAAUAUUGGAGGCUACGAUUUCAUAAUUUUGAGGCUGCGAUUUCUGGUUGUUAAUACAUUGCUGAGGAGGCAGUGAUCCUAUUGAUUCAACGUUAUCCUUCGAUGUCAGUUCAAAAUUACAAGUAAACUGAGGUAUGCAAAGGUUGUAUGUGUUAACUACUAGUGCAGAUGUUCUCUUCCGAUUCUCAUGGUAACAUUUUUCAAGUUAGUUCACGUAGAAGAGUUGUGAGUCGUAUAGGUGUUACUUGAGCACUGCGGUCAAACUCAUAGAGUACGAUGGUGGGUCAAACUCAUAGAGUAUGAUGGUGGGUCAAGAAAGCUCAGUGACAGUGAUGGCUUAUGACUGAAAAAAGUGAGGGGUUUUCGUAUUGAAUCCAAAGUUCUCGAUGGAAGAAGAACCUAAAUUGCAGAACUUGGAAGAAGACGACCCUAAAUCACAAAGCUUGGAAGAACAAGCCAAUAACGCCCCGAGCUUGAAAGAAGGCUCUAUGUCACAGAGCUUAGAAGAAGACCCCACACCGCACAGCUUGAAAGAACCUAAAUUACAGAGCUUGGAAAAAGGAGGCCCUAAAUCACAGAGCUUGAAAGAAGACUAUAAAUCGCAGAAUGUGGAAGGAGACUCUAAAUCCCAGAGCUUGAAAGAAGACCCUAAAUCACUCAGCUUGGAAGAAAACCCUAAAUUACUCAGCUUGGAAGAAAACCCUAAAUCACUCAGCUUGGAAGAAGACCCUAAAUCACUGAGCUUGGAAGGACGAGAUAAAAUUGCAUUCUCUGAAUUGAAUGAAAAUUCAUUGCAAUUCCUGGAUUCAAUAGACGGGUAUUUAACCCUAUUGGAUUCACUGUCCUGGACACUUCGGCAGGGGUGGUUGCAAUUAGCAAGUGCUCGACAUUCUAUGGGUGAGUCAUGCGUGAGCAGUGCUUUGUUGGACCUGAAAUCGCACAAUGCAAGUACAUUUCUGCAAGUAACCCAGCAAUCUGAUACUGAAACAGAGCAAAUUCAUCAUUUUACAUUGCGCAAAUGGGCAUCCUCCGACAAUGACAAUGGAGCUCCACUUAUGAAUAUGAGUCCACAGAUACGACAACGAAAGGAUAAGGAUGGACCUCCACCCCCACUUAAAGCUGAAACUGCUCACCAACAUCAACUUCAGAAGGAGCGGACUAAAUCACUGUUGAUGUUUGGUGGUUUGGUUUCGCCGAAGCUACGGGCAGCACAACUCUCAUUUGAAUCUGCACUUGACGCACUUGUAGAGAUUGCCAACAUGCGUUCUUUGAUGCUUUCCAUGUUUGAUAAGGUCAGGGAAGAAUUGGAGGCUGCCGAAGCCAAAUGACCUGUGAGCACCACCUAUUUCAAUCCUUGAGAUUUUCUUUUGCUUAAAUUGCUGGUUUUGAUCUUUACUACAGUUUAUCCAUUUAUUGUUUGGUUAGUUAGCUGAAGCUCUUAAUUUCUUUCAUGCAUGAACUUCAAGUUUUACGCUUUAGUUAUAUGUUUAGAAUUCAGUUGCAUGGAUUACGUGAUGAAAAUUUGAUGAUUGUUCACCAUGUAAUGCGAUGAUCGUUGGAUGACGGCUCCUGCUAGUGAUAAUGCUAUAGUAAGGAAAUUAUGAUAAAUGCCAUUUUCCUUUCAUGAAGUACAUUACCUGUGAACCACGCCACGUUCAUGAAGAUAUGUCAACCCCCUUAGAAUCUGCCUUGUAUACCCAGAGACUUGAGAAUCGUUUAAGUUAUAGUUUUGAUAUAGCUUUGCAAGUGUGCCUUUUGUUACAAGCUCAAGGAAGAUAUAGAUCUUAGUUUCAUCCUGUAAUAAUAUUACAAUGAGCAACUAAGUGUACAAAUCAGGAGAGUUGAAUAAAUAUAUUAAAUUAUAUUGAAAUAUAGCAAGCUACUUUUAUCUUAUGAUUGCAGCUUGAGUAGUUGCAUUGGUCAUCUCUUUAAUUUAUUGUUUUAUGGUUGUACAAAUACAUGUACAGUUGUACACACAUACAAGGACAAAUACCUAUGCACAAACUACAAAAAACAAGAACAAAUGCAAAAGGAAAAGAUAAAUCUCCCUCAAUAUGUAGAAAGUUGUACUUCUAAUAAACUGGCCGGAACCAAAUAGAAAUGCAAACCAGGAAAGAAAGAAAGAAGUGCGUAAAUGGAUAGCAGUACACUAAACUAGGAAUUUAGAAAUGAGAAUCAUAUAACCGUGAAUGGUGGUCCCUCUAGUUAUGAAAGUGGUGGUAGUCUUGGUGUCCUAUUUAUAGUGCAUAGGUUGCUUUUCGAACACAAACUACAUAAAGGUUGCUUUUGGAUGACGGCAAACCUAUUAUGCUUCAUGUUUGGAGAAAGACCCCAAAAAACAUGAACCGCUUGAGGAAACCAAUCUGGUUUCAGAAGUUUCAACGGUGGCAGGCAAAAUAAAUGCAGCCUGAGGGAGCACAUUAGUUUUGGAGGGCUCUGGUGUAUGUCAUACAAAGUAAAAUAUCGACUGUAAAGGUUAUUGAUCCUAUGGUGGGACUUUUGGAAACCACCCUUACUUUUGAAGCAUCUUAUGGUUAUUGCUCCGUUGAAGCUCAACUGAACUUGUUGAAGAAAGAGACACAGGACUACAAUUCCAGAUGUUCAAAGGCAGACUCGUAACUUGGAUACUGUGGAAGGAGAAGCAGACAAGAUUCUGAAGACCUCCAAACCGAAAUUGCAGGAUGCAAUCAAACAAACAGAAGAAGAAACUCAGAAGUUCGCUAAUGGAUUCAGUCUCCAAGUACAAAGAAUAUGUGCAGUCUAAAUGUCUCAGAAACAGCUGCUUACCGGUUUUAUACUCUCAUGCUGAAAGUACCGUGAUUUCAUCUGAUAGAUAAUUAACUGCCAUCUUCAUUUUAUCAUUUGAGCUUUGUUACAAUUUUGAUUAGUUCUACUAAUCAGAUGGUAUUCUAAGUUUCUUAGAGUGACGUGUUUCCAAACGAGUAUUGUAUGAGAGCCGUAUUUACAGUAUGUACAAAGUUUAUGCCAUAUAUUUCAUCGAAUUGGAUAUCUUUGUUUGUUA
Malus domestica (apple) is the source of this 3436-nucleotide non-coding RNA. Lineage: Eukaryota; Viridiplantae; Streptophyta; Magnoliopsida; Rosales; Rosaceae. The record is from RefSeq and is a predicted model, not a curated record.